Molecule: non-coding RNA, 87 nt
Organism: Gossypium raimondii (Peruvian cotton)
Lineage: Eukaryota; Viridiplantae; Streptophyta; Magnoliopsida; Malvales; Malvaceae
Source: Rfam
CACGUCAACGCGCUUUGCUAACGUGGACACAAAUCGUGUCCUCUGAAGCGCUAUUUGUUGCCAUGUCAGCAAAGCGCGCUGACGUGG